This is a long non-coding RNA of Panicum virgatum (switchgrass), 1636 nucleotides long. RefSeq lists it as uncharacterized. The record is from RefSeq and is a predicted model, not a curated record. The transcript has 6 exons. NCBI's taxonomy places the organism in Eukaryota, Viridiplantae, Streptophyta, Magnoliopsida, Poales, Poaceae.
GCGAGACGGCAUGAAACGGAGGGAGCUUGGGCGCGAGCAGUGUGAAAACGGAGUCCAGCGGGCGGCCGGCACAGGAGCCUUUGGAUUUAUUUUCAAAGGUCAAGAUUCAAGCUAUGUCACGGCUUGCGAAUCUGAGUCCGCCGAGCACACGCACCAUCCGUCCAUCCCCGUCCGUUUUUUUCCCUCACCUGGUGGCCGCUCUCGCCGUCGACCUUCCGGCGAGGCCCUGCGCCGCUGAAGAUCUCCACGCCGUUCACCGUUCAGCGGUAGGGUGAGACCCUGCGUCGCCAUCGACCCUCUUUUUCACGCGUGCCGCCCGUCGAGCUGCAGCGCCAGGUGCAGUAUCAUUUGCCGCUGCUCCGCGUCCUCGACUCGUCCGCCUCUGGCCGCCGUGGAGAGACCCUCCUUCUGGUGCCAGGACCAUGGACAUGAGGACAUGGACAGCUGGUGUAUGAUUACAGAGUUGGUAUAUGAUUACUGAGACGAGCCUUGCACAAAGAGGCUGAUGGAUAAUGGAUGACCGGAUUGAUCCUACUGCUGAGUGCUGACAGCCAUUUUAACCAACAGGAAGCGAAAAACGGACAAUGAACCUCUGCUGGCUCUGACCUGACAUCACCGUGUGGAGUAUCCUCUCUACAUGUCUUGAGCUUCAGGACCAUCGUCUCGCGAAACUUCCAUGACCUGUCUAAUGUGCAUGUCGUCUAAAUUGAUAGUGUUAACAAGUUUUAGCUGCAGGCUGGCUAAUGUGCACGUCGUCUUAAUUUGACAUCAUUAAAAAGUUUUAUCUGUCGCUGUUAGUCUCGUUGCUUUCAGAAGAAACAGUUUGGACUAUUCUUUUUUUAAUGAACUUAUACUCUAUAAAUUAAUUAGUUGUUUACUUUUAGUCUGUGCCUGCACAUUUACUUGUUGAUACGUUUGUUAAUAUCCGCUGAUAUAUUCCAUCAUGAGGCCAUUACUGCUGCUAUAUCUGCAGAACUUUUUGAAGCAUCAGCAUUAAUUAUUGUCACAUUCCUUUAUUAUCAGGUACAUCGAACAGAAUGGGCUGAAUGCUUAUUUGAACAAGUACAGAAUUAAGCUUGACCCUCAGCUUGAAGCUCUUGUUUGAAGGCCAUAGAUUUCCUCGACAAGCUUCCGCGUUAUGAUCACCAGGACAGGCUUACUGCACGUGAAGCAAUGAUGCCAUGAAGAAAAUCCAGGCAUUCGCUCAAAAUGCUCUCGCGUUGGCGUGUCCCAUUGUCACUACAAUCAGCAUUCGGGGUCAUCUGAAUUCCCACGUGGUGGUGCUCACACAGCAGCGUACGAUUUGUCAAAAGGACGAGCUUGCAUUCUAUUCCUUUCCUCUGAUUGCAAGGAUGUAACUCCCCCGGCGUAGAUAGCAUAUUGUACUGUCCUGUUUUCAUAUGUUUUUUUUACUCAUCAUACAACAAAUAGGUCGAUUUUGAUGUGAGUACCAGAAAAGAACUUUGGUUAAUGCUCUUGGAUGAUAUGUCCAUGAAGCUUUCAUACACUUGUCUCCUGCACUGAAGAGCAUUCUCUGCAUCAGCUUUUACUUUUACCAUGGAGAUGAAACUACUACUGGAGGGAGCAUUAUACUUGUGUGAACCUGGUAUCCAAUACAAGAGUGUUUUGUUGCUUA